RNAcentral lists this long non-coding RNA (13668 nucleotides) under Marmota monax (woodchuck). The record is from RNAcentral. Lineage: Eukaryota; Metazoa; Chordata; Mammalia; Rodentia; Sciuridae.
UAACUCCGUUCUAUCACCAGAGGGCGUAAUUCAACCAACAGCUCCAUCUACAGCUGAGCGGCCCUCAACUCCUGUAGUUGAUGGAUGGAAUCCUGAGGCAGGACCCCAAAGAUUAGCAUGCCCUGUACUUGAGCAGGCAGGAGGGCAACGAAUUCACCGUGCUUUAGAUUUCAAAACAGUGAAGCAAUUAAAGGAGGCUGUAACAACCUAUGGGCCGCAAGCACCCNUUCAAACUACCUUAUAACAACCCAUUAUUUUGCCAGAUCUGACAUAGUGUCUCUGCUCUCUCUCUCUCUCUCUCUCUCUCUCUCUCUUUCUUUCUACUUUUUUUGCACAUCUCUACUUAUAAAUGAGAUGGAAUUCAUGAGUUGAAAAUAAAAAUCAAUUACAUUAUCAAUCAAAUUUGUUGUGAUUAUUUUCUUGCAAUGAAAUCUGGGCAAGUCAUAUAACUUAAGAAAUUCACUGAUGCCUUCAAUAUCUUCUAUUUUAUUGGAAUAUAAGUUUUCAAGUUUUCAAAAUAAUUUAUAAUAAACAUCUGUAUUUCUGUAUUGUCUGUUGUGAUAUUACCUUUUUCAUCAUGUAUGCUGGUAAUUUGAGUUCUCUCUCUCCUUCUGUUCAUUAGAGUAGCCAAGGGUCUGUCAAUUUUAUUUAUUUUUUCAAAGAACCACCUUUUUGUGUUUUCAAUUGUUUCUUUUGUUUUGAUUUAAUUGAUUUCAGCUCUAAUUUUAUUUUAUUUUAUUUUUGCCUUCCACUGCUUCUGCUGUUGGUUUGUUCUUUUUCUAGGGAUUUGAGAUGCAAAGUGAGGUCAUUUAUUUGUUGACUUUUUCUUCUCUUAAGGAAUGAAAUCCAUGCAAUAAACUUUCCUCUUAGAAUUGCUUUUAUGGUGUCCCAGUGAUUUUGAUAUGUUGUGUAUAUGUUCUCAUUUGCCUCUAAGAAUUUUUAAAUCUCUUCAUUGAUGUCUUCUGCAACCCAUCUUCAUUCAGUAGCAUAUUGUUUAGUCUCCAGGUGUUGAAAUAAAUUUUAUUUUUUUUUCAUUUUGUCAUUGAUUUUCAAUUUCACUCAAUUAUGAUCUCAUAAACUACAUGGUAGUAUCUCUACUUUUUUGUACUAUGUUUUGUGGCAUAAUACAUCGUCUAUUUUAGAGAACGAUUCAUGUGCUGCUGAGAAGAAAGUGUAUCCACAUAAUGAAGGUUGAACUAUUCUAUAUAUGUCAGUUAAGCCUAAGUUAUUGAUUACAUUAUUGAGUUCUAUAAAUUCUUUUUAGAGGGGGGAGAGAGAGAGAGAGAGAGAGAGAGAGAGAGAGAGAGAGAGAGAGAGAAUUUUUUAAUAUUUAUUUUUUAGUUUUCGGCAGACAUAACAUCUCUGUUUGUAUGUGGUGCUGAGGAUCGAACCCACCACCACACACAUGCCAGUCAAGCGUGCUACCACUUGAGCCACAUCCCCAGCCCUAUAUAGAUUCUUUAUUCAACUUUUGUUUGGAAGAUCUAUUCAGUGAUGAGAGAGUUGUGUUAAAGUCACCCAAGAUUAUUGUGUUGUGAUUAAUUUGACUCUUGACCUUGAGAAGAAUUUGUUUGAUGAAUAUAGCUAUACCUUUGUUUGGGGCAUAUAUAUUUAUGAUUGUUAUGUCUAGUGGGUGUAUGGUUCCCUUGAGCAGUAUGUAAUGUCCAUCUUUUAAUUAACUUUGGCUUGAUGACUUGGUCUGGGAGAGGUGGGAUAAGUUCAGAAUUUGAGACGGCACCACCAAGGCCUGUUCUGGACUCCGUGUGGGGACCUGGUGAGAACCCGGCAUGGUUGCAGAACCUACCCAUCACCCACCCACCCUGGGCAGCCAAGUGGGAGUGAUUAUUCCAAAAUGCCCUGAAAUCCAGACUCAAUACUGCCCCACCUGCAGGCCCCAGGCAUGAAGAGGUUUGCCUCUUUCAAUGUACUUUGUUGACAUCAGAACCUACCUUGGGUCAUUGGGACUGUUAAAAGUAUCCUGGCUUUAUUUGUUUAUUUUUUACUCCUUACCCCAUUAAUGAAUAUUAAGGGGAAAUUUUUUUCUCACUGGUUCUAAAGGAAGAAAUCCCUGCUCUAUAAAAAGACUGAGGCACGUAUAUACAUGGAUGUCAAAACGGAUAUUUAGAAAUAUCUAAGUUGUUACCAUUACAUAGAAAGUUCACUUUUGGGAAAUGUAGUGGUUGUGUAAUUCCUACCAGGAGACAUGUGGUUUUCAGGGUGAAUUUCUUCCUAUUUGCUGUUUGCUUUGAAGCAAACUAGAGGCAAGGCCUUUGUAAAGGCUCUUAGAUAACCUUCAGGUUCAAAAUUCCAAAUAGAUGAGCAAUCUCUACAUUCAAAAUCAAAUGUAGUAUUUGAAGUUAACUGCAGUUUAUGUAGGUUACAAGAAUAGCUCUUGAAAGUAAAUGCACAAUGCAAUGAUUCCAUGGUGUAGUUUUCUAAUAAGUUAUUGUUGGGCCUACUUGACUGGAAGUUUUCUGCUUAAAAUUGAAUACCACUUGUGCAUUCAGAAACAAAUUACAGAUAUGUAAAAAAGCAAAUGUAAUAAAAAGUGAUAAAAAUCAUGCUGAUAUACAUAUUUAAAUAUAAAUUUUGACACAUUAAGAAAACGUAUAUUUCUUAUUAUUGGUUUUAAUAUACUGUGUUUAAUAAUUUAUCCAUUUCCUUUUCUCUUAUGUCAAGGUGAAUUUUCUUAGGUGUAUUACGCAGGUUUAUGCACAGAAAUAGAACUUGCAUACAGGCAUAGAGAGAUUGCUUCAUUGUGAGGAAAUGGCUCACACAUUUAUGGAGGUUGAGAAGUCACAUGAUCUUUUAUAUGCAAGAAGGACAUUCUGAAAAUCUGGUGCUAUAAUUCAGCCUGAGUUUGAAAACCUGAAAACCAGAGGAGUCAUUAAUGUAAAUCAUAGUCCAAGGUAAAGAGAACUAUAAUGAGGUGUCUCAGCUUUGGCAAGUAAGCAAGAAAUGGUAAAACCUCCCAUCAUUUGCUUUUUGUUCUAUGCAGUCUGUCAGUUGGGUGGAUAAUUCUCCUUCAUUUUGAGAAGGGAAAUCUACGUUACUGACUCCACUGAGUGAAGUUGACACAUAAAGAAAACUUAGUAUUAUUAGUAAAGGAAACUGAAUUAAUGACACACCUCAGAUUAUUCCCUUGUUACAUUCCAGAAGUAAAUCCCCUGGUUAUGCUUUUUUAUAAUUAUGACUAGAUUUUAUGCAAUUCUUUUAGCUCUUCUUUAUCACCAAGAAGAAACAAUAAAAAUAAAAUGAAUUUUAUAAAUUGAUAAAAAAAAAGCUACAUGUUAAAUCUCAGUAUAAAAAGCUACAUGUUAUAUCUAAAAAAUGCAGGGCAGUGCAGAGAAUGCACAAGAAUCAGGGAUAAUGAGGAGUUUUGCAUAACUGAAUUUUAAAUUACUCUUUCUAAAAUGUAUAAAUUGUUUUAUCCAGUUGUAUAGAGAAGCUGAAAAGAGAGGAAAUCUUCACAUCAUACAAAUUAAGGACACCAUGUUUUAGAAAUGGUAAUUUUAUUUUGAUACUAAUAUUUUUGAUGCCUGAAGAGAGUUAAAGGCAUAAUUUCUGUAGCUAUUUUGAAAUAAAAAUUAAAUUCAAAGAUGUUGGUCUUAUAUUUGACUCAGUAUUUAAAUUUUCACAUUUUCAAAAAUUUUCCAUAUCUGUGGCAAAAAAAUAAUAAAAUAAAUAAAUAACAAAUAAAUGAAAAUAAAUAAGUAAAUAACAAAUACAUAAAAAUUUAUUUGUUCUGCAGAUUAACUCUUUAUGCCCACAAUUGUAUUCGAUGUUACAGCCAAAAUCAUCGUUUCUGCUAUAACUUCACAGUUUCCAGUAAUGUCAGUUCUUCACAGAAUGACUUUUCUUAGAAGUUUAACUUAUUAUUCUGUUUACAGACAGAUCCACAGUUUUUUUUUUUUCUUACUCUGUGUCUGAAAGAUUCAACUGCCACAUCUUCCUGUAUUGAGAGUUGAGAAGUGUUAAUGUUGGAUGUGAUCUUCAAGGUGCCUCCUGGAUCACUUCAACAUCAGAAUGCUUUCUUGCCUAGGGUUUUCAGACUUUUACGAUGGGCAGAUAUUACUGGGAGAUGGAAGUGGGAGACUCUUGGAACUGGGCUUUUGGAGUCUGUAAUGAUUAUUGGAAAGGGAACAAAGAUGACAAGAUGGAUGAGGUGAAGGGCUCUUCCUCUUUGGAUGUGUUAAGGAGGGUUCCCAUUACACUCUCUUUACCACCUCUCUACUGGUUUUUCAGUAAGUACUAAGGCCAUUGGCUGAAUAAGAGUAUUCCUAGAUUGUGAAGGUAGAACUGUGAUCUCUACUAAUGUUUCUCAAAGUUUUUUGAUAUACAGUAUUUCUUCCUAUUCUUUCUCUCCCCAUAUCAAAGCUUUUUUCUGCUGUAGUCACUUCUGACCAGACAUACAUAAGGACUGUGCCGCUAACACUAUGGAAAAUCCAAUAUCUAAAGAAGCCCUCUCCCUUGGGCCUUAUGAAACAUGUCAAACAGAAUAUAUCUUUUUAAGUUUAGGUUACCUCAAAUUUUGUAACAACCUACUUAAUCUGUUAUUAAUUGUGGUGAUAAUAUUAAAAUCACAUAAAGUUUUAAAAUUUAUGCAUUUUUAAUUAAUUUAUUUGGGGAAUAUAAUCACCUAUGAUACAUGAAGUAGGACAUAUUUUCUGAUUUUAUUUGUGAAAUGUAACAAAAUAAAGGAAUAGAUAAUUUUUGAUUUAAUAAAGGUACAAUUCAAUGUAAGAGAAUGUGUCUCUUUCUUUUCUGUGUUGGUCCAUUUUCUGUUCUUUUAAUAUAAUACCUGAAUCUUGGUAAAUUAUAAAGAAAAGAUUCAUUUAUCUCACAGUUCUGAAGACAGGUAAGUUCUAGGUUAUGAUGCCUGAAUUUUUGGUGUGGGUUUCAUGCUGAAUCUGCUCAUAGCAGAGAAGCAGUAGGAGAAAUUGUCCAGUGAAGAAAAUCUGAACACAUAUGUGACACCCUUCAUAACAACCCACUUUCUAAAAAAUGACUCAUUUUCCAAGGGCCCAGAAUUUACUCCUUCAUUCAGGCUCAGUCCAAGGAGAAAGGCACUAAUUCUUUUUAAUGACUUAAAGACCUCAUCUCAAAAUACUACUGCUCUAUGGAAUAAUAUUUCAACUUGAGUUUUGUUGGGAAAAAUCCACAUUUAAACCAUAGUACUAUAUAGCCACUCUGUCUAUAAUUCAGAGUCUGAGAGGUUGUAUCUACUUGAUUUCUUCCUUUGGGAAGAAAUUUAGCAAAUGCGAACAUUUGAGGUCCCUGGAAAUGAGGUGCUUCCCUCAUCUAUCACUCUGAUAAUCUGAGGAAGAAAUAGGGCCUCCUUGACAGCCUAAUGCCUUUGUAGCAGAGGAAAUCUCAGGGCAGUGACUUCUAUACAUUUUUCUUUAUAGCCCAGGAUUCUUGUAUUAUAAACCAAAACUCAUGCUUCCAUACCAUACCAAACAAUAUGUUAUUUUUUGAAGUCUCAUUGUUUUUACAUCCUAAAAUCAUAAUUAGUAACUAUUGGACAAAAUCAUCUUUGCUACAAAUCUGUGUAAAAGGGAGGUUCCAGGAAAGUCUACCAAAGCUAGAAAGAAUCAAUAGAGGCUUCAGGGUGACAAAUUUUCACUGCCACACAGAAUGGGGUGUGGGGAAUGUGGCCAUCUUUGCUCUUGCAGUUCAUGCUGUGUAUGUGGCAUUACUUAAGAAGUAGCCCCAAGGAAGAGUCGUGGGUCUCUUUUGGGAAAGCAUGAGAUUGAUGUGACAAAAAUAAAAACAAAAUUAUUUUUCUUUCUUUCUUUCUUUCCUUCUUUUUUCUUUCUUUCUCUCCUUUUUUUUUUUUUUUAAAGAAAUGGAACGCAGGGACACUUUACCACUGAACCACAUCUUCAGCCCUUUUAAAUAUUUUAAUUAGAGGUAGAGUCUUUCUGUAUUGCUUAGGGCCUCACUAAAUUGCUGAGGCUUCAUUUGGACUUCUGAUACUCUUGCCUCAGCCUCAGGAACUGGGAUUACAGGUGUGGGCCACCUCAUCUGGUGAGGAAAACCAAAUUUCUAAACUUAAUCCCUCUCCACCUGGGAGAAUAAAACUAAACAAAAGUCAGAAAGAAAAAUGUUUACAAAUAUUCAAAAAUACAUACUAAAAAAAAUGCAUAUGAUGACACCCUCUUUCUGUUCUUAAAGGUGAAAAAUAAAAGAAUAAAACUGAAAAUCUUUAGAUAUAAUCUGAAUUUGGGGAUUUAAUUUUUUUAAGUCAGUAACUGUGGGCAAGAGUGUGUCCCUGGCCUGGGGGGUGCCACUGUGCUGGAUCCCUGGAAAAGGUUUUCAGUACUUUGAAUAAUCCCCUUUUGCCGCUUUUCCCUCCCCCACAACCAUCAAUUUUUUUUUUUUUUUAUGUCAGUAACCCUGGACAAGACUCUAAAUGUUUGUUUAUGAAGAUUGGAGAAUGGAUUACAUCAAAAUUUUCUACCUGAAAACUAAUUACCCACACAUCCAAACCACUCACACUAAUCUAAUCGCCCAUGCUAAUCUAAUUACCUACACUAAUUACCUAACACUGAUUGGAAACACCCUAAAUGCAAUCAAGGAAGAAGUGGGUGUGGUCUUCAGGGACUCAAUAAAAGUGCACUCCAGGAGACCAGCUCAUUCUUCUCCCGAGUAGAGUUUGAAGCUCUCCUGGCUGAAUGACUUCAAAAUCGAUCCCCUCCACACCUUGAGUGCCUGAUCCUGAAGCUUAAUUCAUAGUUUCAAUUCUGUAGCAAGAACUGCUGAAACCAUAGAGUAAUUCUUAAGGUACGUAUACAAUUGCCACAUGAGCUGUAGCUACUACUUUCCCAAACAAAAUCAAAUGUAAUUUCGUAUUUUAAACUUUUUUUCUUUUUUAUUUCUAUUUAUUUAUUUAUUUAUUUAUUUAUUUAUUUAUUUAUUUAUUUAUUUAUUUAUUAUUGUACUGGAGACUGAAUUCAGAGGCACUGGACCACUGAGCCACAUCCCCAUUUCUAUUUUGGAUUCUAUUUAGAGACAGGGUCUCACUGAGUUGCUUAGAGUCUUGCUUUUGCUGAGGCUGGUAAGGAACUUGCACUGCUUCUGUCUCAGGUGUGUGCUACCAUGCCCAGUGCUCCUACAUACUUUAUAAGCACUCUGAAACUAGUUCUCAGAUAAUGUAUAAUUUUUUACCUGUAGGUCCAAAAAUAUGUUUAGGAAUAUUUUAUCUCUUCCAUUCUUAGAAGCUCAACUAUAGUAGAAAUGAGAACCCAGAUUUUUAGCUAAAUAAAAACUGUAAAGAAGUCUUUGUUUUUUGGAGCAGAUUAAAAUAAUCACAUAUUUUCACAGUAUGAAAGGUGCUUGAUAAUAGUUCAGACUUGUAUAGAGAGCUACUCACUUAAAUAUUUGAUUUAUUUGCAUUCUUUAUUUACUCAGUUUGUUCUGUUUUGUCAUGUACAAAAGCAAGUUUAUUAUUCCCUGGACAGUAGUGUGCUAUUCAAUGAGAAUAUGAGUAAAAAUUGGUUCAGGUAUUUAUCUCUUUAAGGGUAGAUGAUUAAAUCCUUAUGGUUUUCUUCCCUCAGAAUAAUGGAUACAGAAAUACCACAAGUGUUCCAGAAAGAACUCACUUGCUCUGUCUGCCUGAAGUACCUUAUAUACCCAGUCACCAUAGGCUGUGGGCACAGCUUUUGUUGGCCCUGUUUCUUUGUUCCCUGGGGACAAGCCCAAAUUCUUACCUGUUGCCCUGUGUGCAGGGAGCCAUCACAGCAGGGAGAUGUCAAAAAUAAUAUUCUUCUGAAGAAUCUUACAUCUAUCGCAAGGCAGGCUCAUCUCAGGCAAUUCCUGAACUCUGAGAAAAAUAUAUGUGUGACCCACCAGCAGACAAAGAAGAUUUUCUGCGAGGAGAACAAGAACCUGCUCUGUUGGCUCUGCUGCAACCCUCAGGAGCACAGGGCUCACAACCACCCUUCAGUGGAAAGGGCUGCUGAGGAAUACCAGGUAAGUGACACCAAUAAAACACUGUGAAAGCUGAGCAGUGGAGCUAAAAGAUUACAAAAGAGCUGAGGAUCUGGAUGAUGAUGAUUGCCCUACUCUUUUCUGUAUGCUCAGUAAUUUUAUAAGCAUCAAGGAAGAAGCUAAAAACCAAAGAUGUAAGCAAUAAAUAAAAUAUGCAAGCAUGCCUGCCUUGGUGGAGCUUGAUUCCACAGAGGUAGUGAUAAAGGGGUUGGUCACUUUAAUUUUAAUUUUCAUGGUUAAGGCAUUAGAAACUGCUCAUUUUGAAAAGUGUUACUGGCUACCAAAAUGACAAAUGCAAUACAUUUGUAUACAGCAUGAGUAUUUACUAACACUACGGAAUAAAUAAGAUAAAAGGCUUUGGGGAAUUAGCAGGGUAGAGCAUCAGAAAACAAAAUUCUGAAGCCAAUUGCCACACUAUCUAAAAACUAUUCAUCUUUAUCACUAUCCCUAGGCACAUGGCUACAUUAUGCACUUUUGCAGUCUGAAAUCUCCUAAAAUUCACAAUCAUCAAUAGCAAAAGGAAAGCAAUGAUUUUUUUUUCUCACUAAAGUACUUAUCUCUUACUUAUUUGUGAUUCUCUCUAUCAUUGUGAGAUUGAAACCAAAUGUGCUUGCUUCUCUAUUGUUUGAGUUUAUAUUUCUUUUACAGGAGAAGCUCCUAAAGCAAAUAAGAUCAUUAUGGGAAAAGAUCCAAGUAAAUCAAAGAAAUAUAAAUGAAGAGAACAAAAUAAUCAGUCCAUGGAUCGUAAGUAUGAGUCUAUUUCCUUGAGACUCAGCUUGAAACAGACAUACUAGAAAUCCACCCAUUAUUCACUAUAGCACCAUGGUGUAAGGAUAUUAGGUACAUCAUUUCGUGUGGCUUGGAAUCCUAAAAGUGAAAUUUGAAUUUCUUGAUCCAACAAAUGACCAGGCAGUGUCAUAGGGAGGUUUGAGAUGAAAAUUAAUUUUCUAACCAGAGAUCAGAAUAUUGCACAUAGUGAUUUAAGUGACAGCUCUAAAUUCUAAUGGCUUGCAUGUAGAAAUUUAUAUUUCAAGGAUAAAUUGUCAAUCAAAACCUUUUCUUAAGAUAUUUCAGGCAUUCAUGAAGCAGAUAAAAGUGGUUGGAGGGAAGCAUGGGUUUGGUUCCUUGCCAUUGUUAUAAAAACUAGGGAAAGAAUGAAGAUAAAAGAAGAGCGAAUUUCUAAUUUCUGAAAUGUGGAUGCAUAUAAAAUUGUGGCAUAUGUAACAUACUGGUAAAAAGCCAAUGGUCAAAGAGAGAGGUUUAGGUGGAGGAGGAUAAAAUCAUACUGGAAUUGUGAUCUAGACAAUCUAUCCCUACAGUACUAUGUGUAUCUCAGGGAAGAGCUGAUCAGGGCUGAGUACAGGAAAAUACAUCCAGUUCUUCAUGAGGAGGAAAAUCGACAUCUAGACAUUCUUAGAAAGGAAAGCAAAAGAAUUUUAGAGGAACUUAAAAAAAGUGAAGCCAAUAUGGUUCAAAAGAAGAAAGACUUAAGAGAAAUAUAUGAGGAGCUGGUGAAAAUGUCCCAUAAAACAUAUGUGGAGCUGCUCCAGGUAAGAACUGAGUUGUGCAUGAAAGUAUUUUAUAUGAUUUGGUGUUCUCAUUUUGACCACAUUAUUUGGUAGUUUUUUAUAUUUCCUGCAUCAAUUAUGGGGUUCUUUCCUCUUUGGAUAUAAUCCACUUAAAGUUUACCUUCUAUCCUGACUAUAAAUAAGCAAGAUUUAUGAAACUUUGUGAGUAGCUAUCCUAGAAUUUUUUUUUUUAUUUUUUCUGUUGUAUCUUGCUUCUGUAAGAUCCAGAAAAAUAACAAUUUAUUCAUGAACAUUUCAUUUUUUGCCUGCCUUUUGACAAUAUGCAGACAUCUUGGAAAAGCUUGUGUUCACUUUCUUCUGUUUAAAAGUUAUGGAAUUGGGGACAGUAAACACUGUGUACUGAUAUCCUUAAUUCUCACACUUUUUAGACCCUCUGGAUUCUGAUUUAAUCACAAAUUCAGAAUCUUUAAAUAUGCUUUACUGGUACUGUCCUGAGAGAUGAAAAUGAAUUCAUAAGAAGCAUUGAUGUGAUGAUAUUUGAUGCUACAUGAUCUUUCCAAAAACAAAAUAUUAUUCAGUUUCUUAAAAAAAAUAAGCCCUUUUUUGUUUUCUUUGCAGGACUUGGGAGACCUAUUGGCAAGGUAAAUUUUGACUUUAGUGUAAACUGGGAUACCAUGGAGAGCUAUGAAAGUGUUUAAGUUGUUUCUAACAAAGUGAAGGCAUAGUUUAUGUAGAGAGUAAUCAACUGUGUGUUCAUGUGUUUGUUUGAAUAUGAUUUCCUCUUCCCCUUUAUGAGAAGUCAGCCUCUAUUUCCCCUGUUGGUCGAGGGAUAUAUGUCAUCCUGGGCUGAGUGUUGAUGUUCAUAAAUGCAACCAUGUAUGAUUUGACAUUGUAAAUCAGAAACACUGAGGUGCACGGGACAGUUUUUCCUAGUUAGCUAAUGAGAGACAUGGGUACCUCUGAGAAAUGGGUUGUUAACUGGCAAAUUAAGUAGGAAAGUUUCCUAGAAACAGUCCCCUCUCAUGUUCACAGAGGUACAUUCAUGAGAAAAAGGUUUCAAGAAACAGUUUCAGCAGAAUUGUUGUUUAGUUCCUUAAAAACUCUGAUGUCAUGUUUGUCACCAGAAGAUUCAUGUCCUCUUCCUACUUUCAGGAGUGAAUCAGUGCAGCUGCACUUGCCUCAGCCUAUAAAGCCAGCACUUCCUGCCCAGACCAUCACUGGACUGAUAGACAGGCUCAAGUGUUUCCAAGGUGAGUGUCAGCCCAGUGAUGGGAGCAUAGUGUAAUGACUUUCAAUAAUGAUUUUCUAUGGGAAACCUUUCCAUUUAUUAACCUUUAAUUUACCCAAAGGGAAUGGUCUGCCAGUUGGUAUUUAUAAUUAUAUUUAGUAAUCUGAUCACCAUGAUUAAAUAAGGAAAAAAAUAAGUGACAACUGGUAAACUAAUAAAUGUGAUUUGGGCUAUACAUACAAAACCAUUUCAAUCAAUAAGACAAUUAUAAAUUAGUUCAGUAUGUUCCAUUUUUAAAUUAAGUGCACUGAGUGAUGAAGGUUAUAUAAACAUUACCCUUAAAAUGUCUUAGAAAUUGAAUGUGUGAUAUGUAUUUUAUUAAAAAUAUACAUAUGUAUAUAUAUAAUAUACACACAAUAUACAAAAUGCAUUAAAUUUAAUAUAAUAGCAUGUAUGAACAAACAUAAAAUAACUGAAUGCACAGAGCAAUAUUUCACAAGCAUCCAAAAAAAGACAAGUUGGUAUAUGAUGAAGCAGUUUUUAGAUUUCCAUGGUAGAACUAGAUAGGAACCAUAGCAAGGAAUUAUUUCUUUGGAUUGAAUGGUAAUGCAGACCUCCAAUUUAUCAGAUGAAAUGAAAAGUAACAAGCUGGAAGUAGACUUGCCCACCCUUUUAUUACAGUGUCCUUAUAUUUAUCAGUGGUUUCAUUGUGAUUGGACUAUUUUUUCUUCUGCAGUAUUCUAGAAACCUGUGAGUGCAAUGCACUUCAGCCACAAUUACCCCUCUUCUUCUGCCCCCCUCCCCCCCACAUUAAGUCUCAGGUAGACCUCCUCAUCUAACAGCAAUUUAAAAGUUGGUUUUGAUUUGAAUAUUCUCUUCAUUCUACAGUGGAGAUAUCCUUUGAAAAUACAGUGUCCAGUGAUAACUUCAAGCUAUUUGAUGAUGUGAGAAGUUUGAGAUUUGGGCACGUCCUUCCAGACUUAUCUUUGAAUUCUGAUGGAAUUAAAUAUUUUGCUGCAUGGGGAACAGAGACUUUCAACUCUGGGAAACUGUACUGGGAAUUAGAUAUGAAGGACCCUUUGGACUGGGCUGUAGGAGUCUGUAAGGAUUCCUGGAUAAGAAGGAAUGGCACAGUGAUUGAAUCCAAAGACGUGUUUCUUCUCCUUUUUGUGAAGGAAGAUGAUGACCAUAGUCUCUUGACAACCUCCCCAAUGCUUUCUCACUAUAUAGAGAAGCCUCAGGGCCGGGUUGGUGUGUUUCUUGAUUUUGAGAGUGAAAGUGUGAGUUUUGUGAACGUUGCCAAGAGUUCUCUUAUAUGGCGGUACCCUUCUGGCUCUUUGAAUUUCCCAGUCAGGCCUUUUGUUCACACUGGCCACAAGUGAACAGGGAUAAGUCAGGAACUCUAUGCCUGGGGAAUUUACAUUUCAGGAAGCCCUUCCUAGUUGAAGUUUACAAUACUGUACUCUAGUGCUUUUUAAGUAAUUUGUACUUGAUCCAGACAUGGUGGCACAUGCCUAUUAAUUCACACAAUUUGGUUAAUUUGGGAGUCUGAUGUAGAAGGACUUCAAGUUUGAGGCCAGCCUGGGCAACUUAGCAAGACCCUGUCACAAAAAAAUUAAGAAGAAGAAGAAGAAGAACAGGGCUGGGAAUGUAGUUCUUUGGUAGAAUACCCCUGGGUAUAAUACCCAAUGAAAAAAUAAAAAUGGCAUUUUAUUGAAUAUAACUUUCUUUUUAAAUAUAAAGACAGUGUAAAUUACCAAAUUGUGUUGACUCAAUUUUUUUUUCUUUUAAUGAUGGCCAUCUUUUGUGGAACAUAUAAUGAUUGGCAAACUAUGUGUUCCAGAUGCACUACAUGCCGUGACUGCUUACAUGUUUUGUGAAUUUGUCAGAUUUAAGAUUGCAUAAUUUUAUGAUUUAAGCUGAAUGACAUUUUUUAGGAUGGAUUUUUAUAUCAUUCUCUGCAAUAAACAUUAUUUUGAUGUUUUCAUCUUUCUAUUGAUCUAAGAAAAUUUAAUUCAUUUUUCCUUGGGAAAUAAAACAAAUGAAGUUCUUUCUCACACUCAGGACAAGGACUCAUUUUUCACUGAAACCAGUAAACUUGGACCUUCCUCUUUCCCUUAUAUUUCCUAAACUAUUUUAAAGGAGUUUUAUGUUAACAGCAAAACUGAGAGGAAAUUAAAAAAAAAUUACAUGUAUUAACCGCCCCCUCUUUCUAAAUACAAGUGUGUAGCUUCACUGGUUUCAAAAAUCCCUAGUCAGAAUGAUACAUUUGUUAAAACCAAUGAACUUAUUUUAAUACACAGACUAUGCGGAUAUCACAUAUUUUAAUAUCAUAUAAUGAGGAAAGAAGUUUUUGUGUGUGUUCUUUCUUUCUAAAAAUAUAUCUCUAGUCUAUGUAUGAGAAAAUAGCUGGAAACCAAAAAUGAAGAUCAUUUUACAAAAGACCUAUGUAGUAUUCCUCAAAAUUGUGAAGGUCGAGCUAGUCAGACAGAGGAAAAUUUGAAGAAAGAAAGCUUAGAGGAAAAACAACCAUCAGGUGGGGAAUUACAACAGGAGGCUGCUACUAACUCCGUUCUAUCACCAGAGGGUGUAAUUCAACCAACAGCUCCAUCUACAGCUGAGCGGCCCUCAACUCCCGUAGUUGAUGGACGGAAUCCUGAGGCAGGACCCCAAAGAUUAGCAUGCCCUAUACUUGAGUAGGCAGGAGGGCAACGAAUUCACCAUGCUUUAUAUUUCAAAAUAGUGAAGCAAUUAAAGGAGGCUGUAACAACCUAUGGGCCACAAGCACCCUUCACUGUGAGCAUGGUCGAAUCCAUUACCAACUUAGACAUGACGCCAGCAGAUUGGGCUAACAUGUGUCUAUCUGUGUUAAAUGGAGGACAAUAUUUGUUAUGGAAGGUUGCCAAUGAGGAAUUUUGC